Molecule: ribosomal RNA, 353 nt
Filed under: Cryptopecten nux
Lineage: Eukaryota; Metazoa; Mollusca; Bivalvia; Pectinida; Pectinidae
Description: partial 12S ribosomal RNA
Rfam family: Bacterial small subunit ribosomal RNA
Source: RNAcentral
CUACUAGGGGACUACGAGUGCUUAAAACUCAAAGAACUUGGCGGCUUGUUAACUACCUAGGGGAAUAUGCGCCUUAAUCCGAUGGUACCCGUUUCAUCUUACUUGGGCUUGAAAAUGAGCAGUCGGUGUAUUGCCGUUAUCAGCUUGUUGUUGAGCAAAAAGAAACAGGCUUAAUGGUCAUUUGUACCGUGAAUUCAGGUCGAAAUACUGCCUAUGCUCAAGGGAGUGGGUGUUACAAUUAAAUUUAAAAUAACGGAUCUUUGAAACUGAAGGUGAACUUAGGAGUAAGGAGGGAUUAAUAUGUUCUCCUGAACUGAAACUAACUUGUGUACAAACUGCCCGUCGCUCUCGGC